UACGUAGGUGGCAAGCGUUGUCCGGAUUUACUGGGCGUAAAGGGCGUGUAGGCGGCCCGCUAAGUCCGUUGUGAAAUUUCCCGGCUCAACCUGGGAACUGCAUUUGAUACUGUCGAGCUAGAGUUUAGUAGAGGGAAGUGGAAUUCCCGGUGUAGCGGUGAAAUGCGUAGAUAUCUGGAAGAACACCGGUUGCGAAGGCGGCUCUCUGGACCGAUACUGACGCUCAAGCGCGAAGGCUUGGGGAGCAAACAGGAUUAGAAACCCGAGUAGUCC
RNAcentral lists this ribosomal RNA (273 nucleotides) under uncultured bacterium. RNAcentral describes it as "partial 16S ribosomal RNA". It matches the Rfam family "Bacterial small subunit ribosomal RNA", at positions 524 to 796 of the family's 1533-position model. The record is from RNAcentral.